Molecule: long non-coding RNA, 617 nt
Filed under: Elaeis guineensis (African oil palm)
Lineage: Eukaryota; Viridiplantae; Streptophyta; Magnoliopsida; Arecales; Arecaceae
Description: long non-coding RNA (EGUI_LNC057122)
Source: RNAcentral
GACAUUCCUGUUAGCAAUCUAUUGGGUCAUACCCAUAGGUGCUUCAACCAAAGUCCACACUUGGUUGAUGUACCGGGAGUCCAUUUCAGAUUUUAUGGCUUCAAGCCGUCUGUCAGAGUCUCUACUCAUGACUGUUUUUGAAUAGGUCAAGAAACAUCAUUCUCAAUAAUGUAUGGUGUAUUGUCAUUCUCAACGAUAAAUCUAUAUUUUGAGUGGUACAUUACAUACCCUUAUUGACCUUUGGAGCGGAGGUGUGUGUCAUAGUUGUGCCUCAUCAAUGGGCACAUCUGGUCGAGGAUGUGGAUACUCUACAGAUAAUGAUGUGAUAGUUUAUAAGUCUUGAACUUUUCAAAUUAAUUAUCCUCCCACUGCCCCCUUCUUAGAUAAUUUUUUUUUCAAAAAAUGGAAUACCUACUGACAAAACAUCUUUUGUCUAGUAGGAUGGUAGAAGUAGUAUCACAUACUACUCUUUAGAAUAAUCUAUAAACUAAUACUAAUCUGAUCUAGCAAAAAGCUUAUGUACAUCAACUCUUUUCAUAUAAGUUGGGCAACCUACCUCUUUCCUUUUUCAUAUCUCAUAUGGAGUGCUAGUAAUAGAUUUUGAUGGUAUCUAAUUC